This 482-nucleotide ribosomal RNA is filed under the name uncultured bacterium. RNAcentral describes it as "partial 16S ribosomal RNA". It matches the Rfam family "Bacterial small subunit ribosomal RNA", at positions 30 to 507 of the family's 1533-position model. The record is from RNAcentral.
AUUGAACGCUGGCGGCAUGCCUUACACGUGCAAGUCGAACGGUAACGGGCCUUCGGUUGCCGACGAGUGGCGAACGGGUGCGUAAUACAUCGGAACGUGCCCGAUCGUGGGGGAUAACGAGGCGAAAGCUUUGCUAAUACCUCAUACGAUCUACGGAUGAAAGCAGGGGACCGCAAGGCCUUGCGCGGGCGGAGCGGCCGCUGGCAGAUUAGGUAGUUGGUGGGAUAAAAGCUUACCAAGCCGACGAUCUGUAGCUGGUCUGAGAGGAUGAUCAGCCACACUGGAACUGAGACACGGCCCAGACUCCUACGGGAGGCAGCAGUGGGGAAUUUUGGACAAUGGGCGCAAGCCUGAUCCAGCCAUGCCGCGUGAAGGAUGAAGGCCUUCGGGUUGUAAACUGCUUUUAUAAGGAACGAAAAGCCUUCUUUUAAUACAGGAGGGUCAUGACGGUACCGUAAGAAUAAGCACCGGCUAACUACGUG